UGGAUUUUGGUCACAUUCAUGCAACAUUCAAUCUUUAUCUUUCUGUGUCAGCCUCAGAAGAGUGAUAUCAUUCAUGAUCACCUGUACCAAACUGAAU
Long non-coding RNA from Gopherus evgoodei (Goodes thornscrub tortoise), 97 nucleotides. RefSeq lists it as uncharacterized. Lineage: Eukaryota; Metazoa; Chordata; Testudines; Testudinidae. The record is from RefSeq and is a predicted model, not a curated record. The transcript has 3 exons.